Molecule: long non-coding RNA, 442 nt
Filed under: Olea europaea subsp. europaea
Lineage: Eukaryota; Viridiplantae; Streptophyta; Magnoliopsida; Lamiales; Oleaceae
Source: RNAcentral
CAAGGCAGAAAAUCUAGUUUUUCCUUACAUCAAAUUCAACUCAGCUUUUCUCUCCAUCCAACCCCCCAAAUAUUGCAAUCAUCCAUACAUUAAAAUGGCAGAAAAAAAUAAAGAGCAAAUAAGCAAAAUGCAAAAACAGUCAAUUUUCUCUCUUUUAACAUAAUCAAGCUCCUCAAAGAAGUGAGAAGCUCAUUCAUCAACCAAUACAACAAGGUUAACGGAUAUCUUAAAAAUUAGAUUUGAGGUGGAUUCACUACUCCUUGUUAAUCACCUCUUCCACAAAUAAUACACAACAAGAAAAUGAACAAUCAGUACCUAUAGAAAUUUGCAAAGAGAAAGUCCCAAGUGGCUUUUAAUGAAUAAAUCUACGGCUAGUCUCAAGGACAAAGGCCUCUGUACUUUGACAGCUACCAAAUCCCAAUUCUCUUUUAGUAGGCCCUUG